This 687-nucleotide ribosomal RNA is filed under the name uncultured Moraxella sp. RNAcentral's name for it is "bacterial SSU rRNA". It matches the Rfam family "Bacterial small subunit ribosomal RNA", at positions 210 to 889 of the family's 1533-position model. The record is from RNAcentral. Lineage: Bacteria; Pseudomonadati; Pseudomonadota; Gammaproteobacteria; Moraxellales; Moraxellaceae.
AGCUCUCGCUAUUAGAUGAGCCUAAGUCGGAUUAGCUGGUUGGUGGGGUAAAGGCCUACCAAGGCGACGAUCUGUAGCUGGUCUGAGAGGAUGAUCAGCCACACUGGGACUGAGACACGGCCCAGACUCCUACGGGAGGCAGCAGUGGGGAAUAUUGGACAAUGGGCGAAAGCCUGAUCCAGCCAUGCCGCGUGUGUGAAGAAGGCCUUUUGGUUGUAAAGCACUUUAAGUGGGGAGGAAAAGCUUAUGGUUAAUACCCAUAAGCCCUGGCGUUACCCACAGAAUAAGCACCGGCUAACUCUGUGCCAGCAGCCGCGGUAAUACAGAGGGUGCAAGCGUUAAUCGGAAUUACUGGGCGUAAAGCGCGCGUAGGUGGUUAUUUAAGUCAGAUGUGAAAGCCCCGGGCUUAACCUGGGAACUGCAUCUGAUACUGGAUAACUAGAGUAGGUGAGAGGGGAGUAGAAUUCCAGGUGUAGCGGUGAAAUGCGUAGAGAUCUGGAGGAAUACCGAUGGCGAAGGCAGCUCCCUGGCAUCAUACUGACACUGAGGUGCGAAAGCGUGGGUAGCAAACAGGAUUAGAUACCCUGGUAGUCCACGCCGUAAACGAUGUCUACCAGUCGUUGGGUCUUUUAAAGACUUAGUGACGCAGUUAACGCAAUAAGUAGACCGCCUGGGGAGUACGGCCGC